This 86-nucleotide small nucleolar RNA is filed under the name Sorex araneus (European shrew). RNAcentral describes it as "Small Cajal body specific RNA 11 (ENSSARG00000019042.1)". It matches the Rfam family "Small Cajal body specific RNA 11". Rfam says of the family: scaRNAs are a specific class of small nuclear RNAs which localise to the Cajal bodies and guide the modification of RNA polymerase II transcribed spliceosomal RNAs U1, U2, U4, U5 and U12. The record is from RNAcentral. Lineage: Eukaryota; Metazoa; Chordata; Mammalia; Eulipotyphla; Soricidae.
GAGUUCUUCAGGACACACAGCCAUCUCCCUCUCUAGCAGGGCCGUCCUAAGCAAAAAGCUGGCUCUUAAAGGCACAAGAAGACAAU